This 164-nucleotide ribosomal RNA is filed under the name uncultured bacterium. RNAcentral's name for it is "partial 16S ribosomal RNA". It matches the Rfam family "Bacterial small subunit ribosomal RNA", at positions 355 to 511 of the family's 1533-position model. The record is from RNAcentral.
UAGGGAAUCUUCCGCAAUGGGCGCAAGCCUGAUGGAGCAACACCGCGUGAGUGAAGAAGGGUUUCGGCUCGUAAAGCUCUGUUGUUAAAGAAGAACACGUAUGAGAGUAACUGUUCAUACGUUGACGGUAUUUAACCAGAAAGUCACGGCUAACUACGUGCCAA